Long non-coding RNA from Rhipicephalus microplus (southern cattle tick), 743 nucleotides. The record is from RefSeq and is a predicted model, not a curated record. NCBI's taxonomy places the organism in Eukaryota, Metazoa, Arthropoda, Arachnida, Ixodida, Ixodidae.
CGAAAAGGCUUUAAUCAGACUUUACACGUUACAUAAAUAUAAGCAACCAACUACAAUUACAUCCUUUUGAAUGCGUUUUCGUUCCUGGGAUCAGUCGAAAUGCUGAAAGCUACUUUUCCUGCCGUUGGUGACUUGAGUGACUGACAGUGCUAGGGCUGGACGGUUGUGGACUCCUUAAACCUGAAUCAGUGACUCUGGAUCUUCAGGACAUAAGUUCUCCAAUAAGAGCGGCUUGUAAAUUGAAGUUUAUGGCGCUUGAGAAAAGGGGAUAUGGAAGACCUCGAAGUUUGACUACUUCAGCUAUACGGAAAUACCAGUGGCCGUGUUCUUGCGAAACGGCAUCUCUUCAGUUGCUGUGGCCUUGGUCCGAACCAGAUAUAGUACCCUACGAAUGGAGAAUCUGAAAGUAUUACAAGUAGAGCUGCGAGCCAUCACAGCUCACUUCCCGAGUAUCUCGGAGCUCAGCCAUCUCAGUAGGGGUGGUAUCCUCUGCCUUUCGUCUGACCAGCGUUGUGUUCAAGACCUGCUGAACUGUUCUGUGUUCGCUACCAAUCCGGCAUCCAUCUAGCCGGCGAAGGUCUUCACGGGUGUCUGGCGACCCCUGUACCGUCGUGGCUUUGACUGAAUCCCUGGCACGGCGUGGUUCUGCUGCUUGGGCAGAAGACAGCGUCGCUUCUGACGGCGUCUACCUGGAGCGGGAGCGAGCCUGAGCUCACCGACACCCACCGCUGCGUCUUUUCCAC